Molecule: long non-coding RNA, 1192 nt
Filed under: Lynx pardinus (Iberian lynx)
Lineage: Eukaryota; Metazoa; Chordata; Mammalia; Carnivora; Felidae
Source: RNAcentral
GGUCACUGGAGGAUGAGGAUGGAGCGCGUACCUUUCAGGGGCGUUGCGAGGAGUGUAAGAACAAAGUAAAUAAAGUGCUUAGUGUGUAGUAGAGGACUGGAAACGACGUGAAUCUCUUACUGGAGCGCAUUCGUACCGUGGAAUCUCGCAGAGCGGCUAACGAAGAAGCAUUGUUAGGUGGAAAAGCAAGUUGCAAAAUAGUAUGUGCAGUAAGAUCUCGUUUAUGUAAACACCCCCCCCCCACACACCCACACUUGGUUUUCCCCGUUUCAAUAGAUACCUUUUCAGUAGAUGGACAGGGGAAAGUCGGGGAGAUCAUAUGUUAUGCUGUUGAUGGGAGGGCGCAACUGAAUUACGGGAGUUUCUCCUUUAUGUGUUUCUGUAUUGUUUAAAUCUCCCUCCCCCCUUUAUUUCGAUGGUCUGUGUCACAUUUUUUUGUUCAGAGAGCAAUUAAGGAAAUUUUCAAAAUCCAUACGUUUCAGGAGUAUUGUAAGAGUAGUGAUGUAAGGGAUAAAUUUGUGUCAUUCAUUCAUACGUACCUGCGGAUAAAUGGCUUAGACAGGUGUCUCUGUGAGCUCUUCGCUGGCACCCAAAGUCCGGGAUGUGUUUUGGAAUUCGGAAGUUUUCAAAUUUGAGAACGAUAAUACAGUACACAUGGUAUAUCAAGUGACCCCACCAACAAAAUUUGCAGCAAUAGAUAAUAAUCAAACGUAUUAAUUACAUUUUUUCUCACGGUGUAGGACACCUACAGAAAUACACAUGGUUCGUACAGCUUGAUGAAUAUUUACAAACUGAAUCCAUACAAAAAUGUUUUUGCUGUAAAACAUGUGAACAUUUCCAUUUAGUGAGAUAAAUGGAGACUAUAAAUACGCUCAUAUCAGUAGGCCAGGGAGUAAAAGCCUGGGAGCUUGGGAUUUCAGAGCUGAGGAUAAGGAGCUAUGGACCUGUUUGGGCAGAAAAAAGAGAGUCACAGGAGCAAGGAGAUCAAGGACAGCCGAAAAAAGAUUUCAAGGCCAGGAAAGGCCAGGAGCAGGCUUGUGUUUGCUCAUGCACUGCCUCCCUCCUCCUUUUUGCUCCUUCCCCAGGAGGCCUCGUCCAGAUGCCCACCCGGCUGCCACAGGAGAUUCCUCUGGGAGACUGAGGGGCAGGCUCGCAGGCCCAGAUUGAGGCCAACCAGUCCUUAGGGCAGGGG